RNAcentral lists this ribosomal RNA (250 nucleotides) under uncultured bacterium. RNAcentral describes it as "partial 16S ribosomal RNA". It matches the Rfam family "Bacterial small subunit ribosomal RNA", at positions 524 to 774 of the family's 1533-position model. The record is from RNAcentral.
UACGGAGGAUGCGAGCGUUAUCCGGAUUUAUUGGGUUUAAAGGGUGCGUAGGCGGCGAAUUAAGUCAGCGGUAAAAUUUCUGGGCUCAACCCAGUCGUGCCGUUGAAACUGGUUUGCUUGAGUACGGAUGAAGUAGGCGGAAUUUGUAGUGUAGCGGUGAAAUGCAUAGAUAUUACAAGGAACUCCAAUUGCGCAGGCAGCUUACUAAACCGUAACUGACGCUGAUGCACGAAAGUGUGGGUAUCAAACA